This 1902-nucleotide ribosomal RNA is filed under the name Escherichia coli. RNAcentral's name for it is "partial 23S ribosomal RNA". It matches the Rfam family "Bacterial large subunit ribosomal RNA", at positions 296 to 2204 of the family's 2925-position model. Lineage: Bacteria; Pseudomonadati; Pseudomonadota; Gammaproteobacteria; Enterobacterales; Enterobacteriaceae. The record is from RNAcentral.
UUGUAGGACUGGACAUUGGAGUUACCAAAGUUCGACGUAGUCGAAGUCAGCUGGAAAGCUGCGCCAUAGAAGGUGAAAGCCCUGUAAACGAAACGGCGGACUCUCCGUCCAGGAUCCUGAGUACGGCGGAACACGUGAAAUUCCGUCGGAAUCCGGGAGGACCAUCUCCCAAGGCUAAAUACUCCCUAGUGACCGAUAGUGAACCAGUACCGUGAGGGAAAGGUGAAAAGCACCCCGGAAGGGGAGUGAAACAGUUCCUGAAACCGUGUGCCUACAAUUAGUCAAAGCCCGUUAACGGGUAAUGGCGUGCCUUUUGUAGAAUGAACCGGCGAGUUACGUUUGCCUGCGAGGUUAAGAUGAAAAGUCGGAGCCGGAGCGAAAGCGAGUCUGAACAGGGUGCUUCAGUAGGUAGAUGUAGACCCGAAACCAAGUGACCUACCCAUGACCAGGUUGAAGGUGUGGUGAAACACACUGGAGGACCGAACCCAUGUAUGUUGAAAAAUGCUGGGAUGAGUUGUGGGUAGCGGUGAAAUUCCAAACGAACUUGGAGAUAGCUGGUUCUCUCCGAAAUAGCUUUAGGGUUAGCCUCGGAGGAUGGAUCAUGGAGGUAGAGCACUGUUUGAACUAGGGGCCCGUCAAGGGUUACUGAAUUCAGAUAAACUCCGAAUACCAUUGAUCUUACUCCGGGAGUCAGACAGUGAGCGAUAAGGUCCAUUGUCGAAAGGGGAACAGCCCAGAUCACCAGUUAAGGUCCCUAAAUUUAUGCUAAGUGGAAAAGGAUGUGGCGUUGCACAGACAACUAGGAUGUUGGCUCAGAAGCAGCCACCAUUUAAAGAGUGCGUAAUAGCUCACUAGUCGAGUGGCACUGCGCCGAAAAUAUACCGGGGCUAAGCAUAAUACCGAAACUGUGGGUGCACCCGUCAGGGUGCGCGGUAGGAGAGCGUUCUAAGGGCGUUGAAGGUCGAUCGUGAGGACGGCUGGAGCGCUUAGAAGUGAGAAUGCCGGCAUGAGUAGCGAAAGAUCAGUGAGAAUCUGAUCCACCGUAUGACUAAGGUUUCCUGGGGAAGGCUCGUCCUCCCAGGGUUAGUCGGGAUCUAAGGCGAGGCCGCAAGGCGUAGUCGAUGACAAGCAGGUUGAGAUUCCUGCACUAGUUUAUUUUGUUUAAGCGAUGGAGGGACGCAGGAGGCUAAGGAAAGCGCACGGCUGGAAAAGUGCGUCCAAGCAGUAAGUCCGGUGGCGAGUGAAAUGCUUGCCGCCUUAAGGACAAGCUGUGAUGGGGAGCGAAAUUAAAGUAGCGAAGUUCCUGAUGUCACACUGCCAAGAAAAGCUUCUAGUGAGAAAUAAACUACCCGUACCGCAAACCGACACAGGUAGUCGAGGAGAGUAUCCUCAGGUGAGCGAGCGAACUCUCGUUAAGGAACUCGGCAAAAUGACCCCGUAACUUCGGAAGAAGGGGUGCUGACCGCAAGGUCAGCCGCAGUGAAUAGGCCCAAACAACUGUUUAUCAAAAACACAGGUCUCUGCUAAAUCGUAAGAUGAUGUAUAGGGGCUGACGCCUGCCCGGUGCUGGAAGGUUAAGAGGAUGAGUUAGCGCAAGCGAAGCCCAGAAUUGAAGCCCCAGUAAACGGCGGCCGUAACUAUAACGGUCCUAAGGUAGCGAAAUUCCUUGUCGGGUAAGUUCCGACCCGCACGAAAGGCGUAAUGAUUUGGGCACUGUCUCAACGAGAGACUCGGUGAAAUUAUAGUACCCGUGAAGAUGCGGGUUACCCGCGACAGGACGGAAAGACCCCAUGGAGCUUUACUAUAGCUUGAUAUUGAGUGUUGGUACCGCUUGUACAGGAUAGGUAGGAGCCGUAGAGAUCGGAACGCUAGUUUCGAUGGAGGCAUUGGUGGGAUACUACC